AAGUCGUAACAAGGUUUCCGUAGGUGAACCUGCGGAAGGAUCAUUAGCGAAGUUCGGAACGCAUGUUCGAUGUUGAUGCUGCCCAGCAAUGGGAUGUGCUCGCUCGGAUGUGUGUCCCUUCUCUAUCCACCCCAUUGUGAACCAAGUGUGUGAGCCGAAGAGAAAUCGGACGCUCGCAUGCAAACCUUUAACAUACCCCAAUGAAGUAUCAGAAUGUACCUUGCGUUAACUCGCACAAAUAUAACUUUCAACAACGGAUCUCUUGGCUCUC
Molecule: unclassified non-coding RNA, 271 nt
Filed under: Peniophora albobadia
Lineage: Eukaryota; Fungi; Basidiomycota; Agaricomycetes; Russulales; Peniophoraceae
Description: partial internal transcribed spacer region
Rfam family: Eukaryotic small subunit ribosomal RNA (bases 1-46)
Source: RNAcentral